This 546-nucleotide ribosomal RNA is filed under the name Oridorsalis umbonatus. RNAcentral's name for it is "bacterial SSU rRNA". It matches the Rfam family "Eukaryotic small subunit ribosomal RNA", at positions 1220 to 1547 of the family's 1831-position model. The record is from RNAcentral. Lineage: Eukaryota; Foraminifera; Rotaliida; Alabaminidae.
GGGUCCGGACACACUGAGGAUUGACAGGCAAUAUUAGUACGUGUUUCGGCGCGUAUUAUGUUAAAUAUGCUAGUCCUUUCAUGAUUAUGUGAUAGGUGGUGCAUGGCCGUUCUUAGUUCGUGGAGUGAUCUGUCUGCUUAAUUGCGUUUCACUAAGAAUCUAUCAAUACGUGCGUUGCGGCACUUUGACCCCUCUCUGAGCGCGCGUCUUAGUUGCUUAGCUCGCACAAUUAGGUUCUGAAAGCAACGAACGUGACCGCAACCUCUUGUUGCCUUUAUACCAAACACGUUUACUGCUUUUGCAGUAUUCGUGCAAAAAGGCUUUUUAAACUAGAGGGACCGCUGUUACUUUCUUAAACCAGAGGAAGGUUGCGGCAAUAACAGGUCUGUGAUGCCCUUAGAUGUUCCGGGCUGCACACGUGCUACAAUGAUUGUUGCAGUGAGCAUCUCAUUUUUACACACCGCAUGCGCGAGUCCAUUUAUUCACUUCGGUGCUUUAAAUGUGUAUUUCUGCGCGCGGUAAAGCCUGCUUCGAGAGUAAGUGGGU